Grammomys surdaster is the source of this 163-nucleotide small nuclear RNA. RefSeq annotates it as U1 spliceosomal RNA. The record is from RefSeq and is a predicted model, not a curated record. Lineage: Eukaryota; Metazoa; Chordata; Mammalia; Rodentia; Muridae. The transcript has a single exon.
AAAAUAACAAAGGGGAGAUACUAUGAUCAGGAAGGUGGUCCCCCCCACCCUCCAGGUAAAGUUCACCUCUUGUUCUUGGAUUAUGCUAACCUCUGCAAUUUCCUCAAACCCGGGAAACUGCAAAAUUUGUGGUAGUAGGGGACUGUGUUCACUCUCUUCCCUG